GAUGAACGCUGGCGGCGUGCCUAAUACAUGCAAGUCGAGCGAACAGAUGAGGAGCUUGCUCCUCUGACGUUAGCGGCGGACGGGUGAGUAACACGUGGAUAACCUACCUAUAAGACUGGGAUAACUUCGGGAAACCGGAGCUAAUACCGGAUAAUAUAUUGAACCGCAUGGUUCAAUAGUGAAAGACGGUUUUGCUGUCACUUAUAGAUGGAUCCGCGCCGCAUUAGCUAGUUGGUAAGGUAACGGCUUACCAAGGCAACGAUGCGUAGCCGACCUGAGAGGGUGAUCGGCCACACUGGAACUGAAACACGGCCCAACACCCUAGGGGAGGCAGCAGUAGGGAACUUUCCGCAAUGGGCGAAACCCUGACGGGGCAACGCCGGGGGGGGGAUGAAGGGUUUCGGAUCGUAAAACUCUGUUAUUAGGGAAAAAAAAAUUUGAAAGUAACUAUGCACGUUUUGACGGUACCUAAGCAGAAAGCCACGGCUAACUACGG
Molecule: ribosomal RNA, 496 nt
Filed under: uncultured bacterium
Lineage: Bacteria
Description: partial 16S ribosomal RNA
Rfam family: Bacterial small subunit ribosomal RNA
Source: RNAcentral